Molecule: ribosomal RNA, 329 nt
Filed under: uncultured eukaryote
Lineage: Eukaryota
Description: partial 18S ribosomal RNA
Rfam family: Eukaryotic small subunit ribosomal RNA
Source: RNAcentral
CCCUUAGAUGUUCUGGGCCGCACGCGCGCUACACUGACGAUGGCAACGAGUUUUUCCUUCGCCGAAAGGUGUGGGUAAUCUUUUGAAACAUCGUCGUGCUGGGGAUAGAUCAUUGCAAUUUUUGAUCUUGAACGAGGAAUUCCUAGUAAGCGCGAGUCAUCAGCUCGCGUUGAUUACGUCCCUGCCCUUUGUACACACCGCCCGUCGCUACUACCGAUUGAAUGGUUUAGUGAGGACUCCUGAUUGGCGCCGCCGCCCCGGCAACGGAGCAGCGGACUACCGAAAAGUUGUUCAAACUUGAUCAUUUAGAGGAAGUAAAAGUCGUAACA